AAUAGAUACCCGGGUAGUCCAUGCCGUAAACGUUGGGAACUAGAUGUGGGGACCAUUCCACGGUCUCCGUGUCGCAGCUAACGCAUUAAGUUCCCCGCCUGGGGAGUACGGCCGCAAGGCUAAAACUCAAAGGAAUUUGACGGGGGUCCCGCACAAGCGGCGGAGCAUGCGGAUUAAUUCGAUGCAACGCGAAGAACCUUACCAAGGCUUGACAUAUACCGGAAAGGUCUGGAAACAGUCCCCCCGCAAGGUCGGUAUACAGGUGGUGCAUGGUUGUCGUCAGCUCGUGUCGUGAGAUGUUGGGUUAAGUCCCGCAACGAGCGCAACCCUCGUCUUAUGUUGCCAGCGGUUCGGCCGGGGACUCAUAAGAGACUGCCGGGGUCAACUCGGAGGAAGGUGGGGAUGAGGUCAAAUCAUCAUGCCCCUUAUGUCUUGGGCUUCACGCAUGCUACAAUGGCCGGUACAAAGGGCUGCAAUACCGCGAGGUGGAGCGAAUCCCAAAAAGCCGGUCUCAGUUCGGAUUGAGGUCUGCAACUCGACCCCA
This 544-nucleotide ribosomal RNA is filed under the name uncultured bacterium. RNAcentral describes it as "bacterial SSU rRNA". It matches the Rfam family "Bacterial small subunit ribosomal RNA", at positions 777 to 1320 of the family's 1533-position model. The record is from RNAcentral.